GAGGUGAUUACACAAGUUGUGCUGCAGUUUGUAUAUAAUUUAUAUACCUAUUAAAGUAGAAAGUUGGAUAGACUUUGAGUAAUACCUAGUUUACAUUGCAGCUAAGGUUUUGAAAGCUUAUAUCCCUUAAGACCUAAACAUUCUGUUAGAAUAUUAGUUUUCAGUGGUGGUGUGAUCCAUAUCUCAGUGUCAGUUGCCUUACCUGCUAAGGGGGUAUCAGUCCCUCUUUCCUCUUCCCCUCCAUUUUUACCUCCAUCCUUUCUCUUCCUCAAGUCUCUUUCCUUAUCUUUGAAUCCUUAAUGUUUUUCCUCCCACAUAAGAACAUGUGUCAAUGUCCUCCUGAUUUUUGGAUCAGGCAGAAAUGAUUUGCAGAGGCCAUAUGUUAUUAACCUGUUGCAAUCUAAGAAAACCUAAAGAAAAUCCUCCCUGCCCUUUUAAAUCCUUAAAAAAUAACAAAUCAAUACAGUUGUGAUAAUUUCAUUCUCUUUAAGGAAUCAUAAGUAAAUUGGACCACUGUUCCUUUAAAUAUGGACCAGUGGAACUUUGGGGCUUCUGCCUGAAGCAUUUGUUGGUCCCCUAGGAGUGUCAGUUGGGCCUGAAUAGGAAGAAAGGCCCAGGUAGCCGCCAUUGUAUCUGUUCAUGAAACCUUUUCUGUAGUCUAGCUAUGUAUCUGCUAUGCUCUCCAGCACUACCAUCACUGUCUCAGCUCCACUUCAGAUCAUCAGGUAUCAGGUACUUACAAGGAGCACACAACCUAGAUUCCUUAAAUGGGCACUUCUCAGAAGUGUUUGUACUUCUGUGAGAAUCUAAUGCCUCUACUGACCUGACAGGAGGUAGAGUUCAGGCAGUAAUCUAGGUAAUGGGGAAUAGCUGUAAAUACAGAUGAAGCUUCAUAACUUACCUGCCACUCACCUCCUGCUGUGUGGCCCAGUUUCUAACCUCUGGUUUGAAAUAUUGAUUGUCCCAAACUGUCUAACAAUAAUUCACUAUUGUAAGUACGAGUAUCCAUUUUAUUAAACUGAUGGAAUUGUGCAUCUCCAGGAUGUCUAGAAACUACCUAGCUUUUGGUUCUGGUUGAUAGUUGAGCCAUGCUCUGCCAAAGCCUACUGGCUUGAAUUUUGAUCUUGUCUGUUGCAUUUGUUAGGCAUCAUGUCUCCUUGGGGCCAUUGCUUGACCACUCUAAGCCUCAGUUUUUUUUAACUUUAAGAUAAAGUUAGAUAUACCUAAAAGUUGUGAGGAUUAAAUAAAAUAAUGCAAAGCCAAUUUAUUGAGAAGUCUUAGUAUUUCAGAGGUAUGAAUAUAUAGUUAUUUAUUUUUUUUAAUAAUUACCACCAACUUUGGCAUUUGGAAGGUUUUCCUUUUUUGCUAUAUAAUGG
RNAcentral lists this long non-coding RNA (1376 nucleotides) under Fukomys damarensis (Damara mole-rat). RNAcentral describes it as "lncRNA (ENSFDAG00000028298.1)". The record is from RNAcentral. Lineage: Eukaryota; Metazoa; Chordata; Mammalia; Rodentia; Bathyergidae.